Molecule: long non-coding RNA, 8276 nt
Organism: Loxodonta africana (African savanna elephant)
Lineage: Eukaryota; Metazoa; Chordata; Mammalia; Proboscidea; Elephantidae
Exons: 3
Source: RefSeq, a predicted model, not a curated record
UUUGCACAUUUGUGCUGAUGUCACUCUCAGCUGAUUUCACUUUCAUUUCUAAACUUGCCGUUGGCCCAGGGCUUCACAGAAAGUAAACAACUUUUGUCUUUCCCCUGAACACACACUUCACCCCCGCUGAAGCCAACAAACUGAGUGAUUUAAAGAUCAGGACCUCAACUGAAGAUAAUGAGAAAUGAAGAAAAUAACACCACAGUUGCUAAAGAGUCAGUUAAAGGUUAAUAUCAGACUUAGAAGUUUUCAGAAGAAACAAGUACAUAGUCUAAAAUUUAUCUCCUGAGCUCAUCCUCUAUUGGGUCAUGAAAUGAAGAGGAACAAGAUGGUCUUCAGAACAUAAAACCCUAUAUUCUUCCUGGGGGAAAACCUUUCAAAUCAUAGACAUUCCUCAAAUACACAGACCACCUCAACCCUCCCAUGUAGGUGGCCACUCCUUUCUCUGUGCCUCCUUGGAACCCUGUACAGACUCUGUCAUUGCACUUAUAAUGAAAAACUUGUUUAUUUGCUUUUCUCCCCUGAGAGCUGUGAGAAAAUUAGAAUAAGUUCACAAGAGCCAAAGUACGACCUCGAGUAUAUCCCACCUGAAUUUAGAGACCAUCUCAAGAAUAGAUUUAACACGUCGAACACUAAUAACUGAAGACCAGAUGAAUUGUGGAAGGACUUCAAGGACAUCAUACACGAAGAAAGCAAGAGGUCAUUAAAAAAUAUGAAAGAAAGAAAAGACCAAAAUGGAUGUCAGAAGAGACUCUGAAACUUGCUCUUGAACUUCGAGUAGCUAAAGCAAAUGGAAGAAAUGAUGAAGUCUUAACUCAAAGAGUUGAACAGAAGAUUUCAAAGGGUGGCUUGAGAGGACAAAGUAAAGUAUUAUAAUAACAGGUGCAAAGAUCUGGAGUUAGAACCAAAAGGGAAGAACAGGCUCAGCAUUUCUCAAGCUCAAAGAACUGAAGAACAAUUUCAAGCCUUGAGUUGCAAUAUUGAAGGAUUCCACAGGGAAAAUCAAAAGAAGAUAGAAGGAAUACACAGAGUCAUUAUAUCAAAAGGAAAUGGUUGAUGUUCAUCCAUUUUGGGAGGUAGCACAUGAUCAGAAAGCAACUGUACUGAAGGAAGAGGUCCAAGCUGCACUGGAGGCAUUGGCAAAAAACAAGGCUCAAGGAAUUGAUGUAAUAUCAAUAGAGAUGUUUCAACAAAUGAAUGUAGCACUAGAAGUGCUCACUUGUCUAUGCCAAGAAAUUUGGAAGUCAGCUACCUGGCCAACCGACUGGAAGAAAUCCAUAUUUAUGCCUAUUCCAAAGAAAGGUGAUCCAAUGGAAUUCACAAAUUAUCAAGUAAUAUCAUUAAUAUCAAAUGCAAGUAAAUUUUUGCUGAAGAUCAUUCAAAAACAGCUGCAGCAGUGCUUUGAUUGGAAACUGCCAGAAAUUCAAGCCAGAUUCAGAAGAGGACAUGCGACCAGGGAUAUCAUUGCUGACAUCAGAUGGAUCCUGGCUGAAAGCAGAGAAUAUCAGAAAGAUGUUUACCUGUGUUUUAUUGACUACAAAAAGGCAUUCGACUGUGUGGAUCAUAACAAAUCAUGGAUAAAAUUGUGAAGAAUGGGAAUUCUAGAGCUCAUGAGGAACCUGUACAUAGACCAAGAGGCAGUUGUUUGAACAGAACAAGGGGAUACUGGGUGGUUUAAAGUCAGGAAAGGUGUGCAUCAGGGUCGUGUCCUUUCACCACGCUUAUUCAGUCUGUAUAAAAAAGAAGCUGGACUAUAUGAAGAAGAACAUGGCAUCAGAAUUAGAGGAAGACUCAUUAACAACCUGCAUUAUGCAGAUGACACAGCCUUGCUUGCUGAAAAUGAGGAGGACUUGAAGCACUUACUGAUGAAGAUCGAAGACCACUGCCUUCAGUAUGGAUUACACCUCAACAUAAAGAAAACAAAAAUCCUCACAACUGGACCAAUAAGCAACAUCAUGAUAAACAGAGAAAAGAUUGAGGUCAUCAAGGAUUUCAUUUUACUUAUAUCCACAAUCAACAGCCAUGGAAGCAGCAGUCAAGAAAUCAAAAGGCGCAUUGCAUUGGGCAAAUCUGCUGCAAAAGACCUCUUCAAAGUGUUAAAAGGCGAAGAUGUCACUUCAAGGACUAAGAACACCUGUUCCAAGUUAUGGUGUUUUCAGUCACCACAUACACAUGGGAAAGCUGGGCAAUGAAUAAGGAAGACCAAAGAGGAAUUGAUGCCUUUGAAUUAUGGUGUUGGUGAAAAAUAUUCAAUAUACCAUGGACUGCCAAAAGAAGGAACAAGUCUGUCUUGGAAGAAGUACAGCCAGAAUGCUCCUUAGAAGCGAGGAUGGCGAGACUUCUUCUCAUGUACUUUGAACAUGUUAUCAGGAGGGUUCAGUCCCUGGAGGAGAUUAUGCUUGAUAAAAUAGAGGGUAAGUGAAAAAGAGGAGGACCCUGAAUGAGAUGGACUGACACGGUGGCUGCAACAACGGGGUCCAAAAGCAACGAUUGUGGGGAUGGUGCAGGACCCGGCAGUGUUUUGUCCUGUUGUGAACGGUGAUACAACAAACGUUGAAGAUGAGCAGAAACAGGAUCCCUCAUACAUUGUUAGUGAAAACGUAAGAUGACGUAGAGCCAGCUAUUAAGUUCUGCUAAUUGAUCAGUUGUUUUCAACAAUGCCCUGGGGCAUAAAUUGCUGUAUAGGCCAAUUCAAUGAAAUUAAUGCUCAUUUGAAAAGAUAGUUCCAGAGGUUAGUGUUAUGAUUUAUUCUGACCCCAGAUGGGAUCCUUCCAGCUGUCUCUUGUUUUCUCUGGCAAACUAACCGGCCUACAGUUUAGCCUACAUCUUCGAUAAAUCAACCAAUCUCCUCCCAGUUGUUUCUCAUCACAACAGCCACUGUUUCUGAGAGGACCCUUGGAUUUGAGCUCUCCACGUCCUGUUGCAAGUGGGCUGUAUCCUUUGGGAAGAGAUUAGGAGCUACCUGUUUUAUGGUCUGCUUCCUCCCUAUCCCAAGGCAAAAUCUCUGAGCCAGGGUCCUGGAGCUGGGGGUAGGGACAGUGAGGCUCUUCUCUCUGAGAAGUGACACCCUUGUGUUUAGGAGCUGAACUCAAGGUAAUUUUGUAGUUUUAUAAACAGUAAAUAAGAAUGACCAAAUUUUAACCAUUAACUCUUCCUGGGGAAAAACAAGGUAAGAGAAGGUAAGAGGAAAUAACUUAUCAUUCUCUGCAAUCAUUUUUUUCAGUAAUUGUUAACAAUGAUCAAUAAGAUUUACCUCUUGUUCUUCUCUGGCAUUUUCAUGGAUUUCUAUAGUAGAAUUUCUUUCCUUCUUUGUUUUCAGAUGUUUUUUGGUUUUUAGCUAGAUAGAAGAACCAGAUAUAAAAUCAUUAUUUAAUCAAAACAUCAAAACAAGUAUAUACACAGACUUAAAACUACCUUGGAACUUCCAUUUCUAGGAAGUGUGGAAUGGAGUUUACUUCUCCUGGAAUCCAAACUUCUGAGCUCCAUGGAGGCUGGGGUGACCUACCCAAGCCACGGACUUGAGACGAUCUUUGAGCCUUUGGCCUUGAGGAAACUAGUUUCCUAAAAGUUACCUUACCUUUUAGUCAAACAAUAGUCUAGAGUGUUUUGCCUCAGGCAUUGUGCUCUUUUGAAGAAUUACCUAUGCGCAGUCAGUCUCAAGAAACAGAAGUUCCAAGGUCAGACUAGAAACUAAGUGUUUAGGGUAAAUUGUUAUUGUGAAAGCACUGUUCUGGCCCCAUUUCCAUAGCAAUGUUGAUAAGAUAGGGUAUAAGAAUCAUUGGAGGGUCUCUCAACUUCAGGACAUUUUUGACUCCCUAGUUGAAAUGUUACCUGGAUUUGCAAAUCACAUAUUAAAAAUACUUCAAUCAAUUUCUAUUUUUGGCUUAAUAUGAUUUUUGUUUGAACAGAGGAUAAGUAAUUUUCCCUAUUCUGUCUAAAUACAACUAAAAAUUCUGGACAUCACAUAAUAAAGUAAUAUAAAAGACUCUGAAAGGUGGAAAGAAGAAGGCAGACUGACUAGAAACUUUAGGAUCAGAGGAGUGACACAGUGAUGCAUUCCCUAGGUUUUCUUUUUGUCUCAUACACCCCAGAUUUACCGCAGGAGAAGCUGGCAACCCAUAAAUACCAAUGAGUGCAGGCAGACAAACAAACAAACACUCCAACAAAAGCUUCUUUUCUCUGUCCAAGGACCAAAAAGCAGGCAGCUUGGAUAGAACACUUUUAGAUAAUAACUACUUUACUUCAACUAAAUACCACCAAAAAACUGUGGCCCCACCCAUGCCAACCAAGGCUGAAUGGGGAACUGUAUUCGUUUCCUAGGGCAGCUGUAAUGAAUUAUCACAAACUGGGUAAAAUAACAUAAAUUUGAUCUCUCACAUUCCUGAGGCUAGAGGUUUGAAAUCAAGGUAUUGGCAGGGUCAUGCUCCCUCAGAAGGCUCCAUUCUCCUUUUUAGCUUCUGGUGGUUGCCGGUAAUCCUUGAUGUCCUCAGUUUGUAACCGCAUCACUCCAAUCUUUUCCUCCAUUGUCACAUAGGCUUCUUCUCUGCUGUCUUGGUCAUCUAGUGCUGCUAUAACAGAAAUACCACAAGCGGACGGCUUUAACAAAGAGAAAUUUAUUCUCUCACAGUCUAGGAGGCUAGUAGUACAAAUUCAGGGUGCCAGCUCCAGGGUAAGGCUUUCUGUCUCUGUCGGCUCUAGAGGAAGGUCCUUGUCAUCAAUCUUCCCCAAUCAAGGAACUUCUCAGUGCAGGGACCCCAGAUCUAAAGGAUAUAUUAUUCUCCUGGCUCUUGUUUCUUGGUGGGAUAGGUCCCCUUGUCUCUCUGCUCGCUUUUCUCUUUUAUAUCUCAAAAGAGAUUGACUUAAGACACAACCUAAUCUUGUAGAGUGAGUCCUGCCUCAUUAACAUAACCGCCGAUAAUCCCACCUUAUUAACAUCAUAGAAGUAGGAUUUACAACACACAGGAAAAUCACAUCAGAUGAUGAAAUGGUGGACAAUCAUGCAAUACUGGGAAUCAUGGCCUAGCCAAGUUGACAGACGUUUUUGGGGGGGACAUAAUUUAAUCCAUAACACCUAUGCAUGUGUCUCUUCUCUGUGUCUCUGUCUGUGUCCAAAUUUCCCUCUUCUUAUAAGAACACCAAUCCUUGGAUUUAAGGGCCAUCCUAAUCCAGUAUAACUUCACUUUAACUUGAUUACAUCUACAACGACUUUAUUUCCAAGUAAAUUCAAAUUAAGGAUAUAGCUGUCUCUUUGAUGGCACUUAAUGAUUGCUACCUCCUGGUAUUCAUGCCCCGUGUAAUCUUCUCUCAUUGACUAUGGGCUGAAUCUACUGAUUCACUUCUAAUGAAUUGAAUAUGGCAAAAGUGAUGGGAUGUUGCUUCUGAGAUUAGGUUACAAAUACUGUAGCUUCCAUUUUGUGUGCCCUCUUUUGUUCUCUUGCUUGUUUGCUCAGAUGGAAUCCAGCUGGGUUCCAUCAUUGUGAGGAACUAGGAAGGCCCACGGUCAACAGCCAGAGAGGAACUAAGACCAUCAGUUCAGCAACCUGUGAAGAAAUGAAUCCUAUGAACAACCAAAUGAGUGAGCUUGGAAGAGGAUCCUUCCUCAAACAAUCCAGCAAAUGAGACUGUAGCCUGGUCAACACCUUCACUGCAGUCUUGAGAGAAACCUUGAAGUAGAAGCAUCCUGCUAAGCAAUGCCCAGAUACCUGACCUACCGAAACUGUGAGGUAAUAAAUGUUUGUGGUUUUAAGCUACUAUUGCUUGGGGUAAUUUGUUACACAGCCAUAAAAUAUUAACACAAUAUUCUUUGUUAAGACCUUGGGAAUUUUUUUUAAGGUAACAUCUAAUAGACUCUAGCAGCUGAACAGAUGUCUCUGAAGAAGGAGCGUCGGGAAUGUUAUUGUUGUUAGGUGCCAUCUAGUUGGUUCCAAGUCAUAACGACCCUCCGUACAACAGAAUGAAACACUGCCCGGCCCUGCACCAUCCUCACAAUUGUUGUUAUGCUUGAGCCCCUUGUUGCAACCACUGUGCCAAUACAUCUCAUUGAGGGUCUUCCUCUUUUUCGCUGACCUCUGCUUUACCAAGCAUGAUGUCCUUCUCCAGGGACUGGUCCCUCCUGAUAACAUGUCCAAAGUACAUGAGAUGAAGUCUUGCCAUCCAUACUUCUAAGGAACAUUCUGGCUGUACUUCUUUCAAGACAGAUUUGUUUGUUCUUCUGGCAGUCCAUGGUAUAUUCAAUAUUCAUCACCAACACCAUAUAAUUCAAAGGCUUCAAUUCUUCUUCUGUCUUCCUUACUUAUUGUCCAGGCAUGGGAGAUGGAAACAGAAUGUGUGGCAUAUUACCUCCAUGAACAACUCCCUCCUUUGCCAUGAGACCAGAAGAAUUGGAAGGUGCCUGACUACUAUUACAGAACAUUUUGAUCAAAGAUUCCAUAGGAGUAUCCUGCCUGAUCAAAAGGGGAAAAUGUAGAAUGGAAUUUCAAAUUCUCAUGCAAUCCAGAGGCUGGAUGAACCUCUGAAACUAUUGCCCUGAGAUAAUCUUUAAACCUUAAACCAAAAAUAUUUCCUGAAGUCUCCUUUAAAUUAAACAAUGUUGUUUGUUGUUAGGUGCUGUUGAGUUGGUUCUGACUCAUAGCAAGCCAACGUACAACAGAAUGAAGCAUCGCCCAGUCCUGCGCCAUCCUCACAAUCCUUGUUAUGCUGGAGCCCAUUGUUGUAGCCACUAUGUCAAUGCAUCUUGUUGAGGGUCUUCCUCUUUUCCAAAUCUAACAGUAGGUUAGCUUAAUUAGUAAAGAACUUCUGUUUUCAGCCUUGUGUUCUUUCAAGAACUAUGUAUAUGGGACCAAAUUGGCAACAGCAACUUGAAAGAUGGGCUAUAAAACUGAGGGGGCAGUGAGUUUAUGUUAGUGGGGGAGGAACAGCUUGGAAAAGGAGGGUGGGAAUGGUUGCCCAACUCAAAGGAUGUAGUCAUUGUCACUGAAUUCCACAUGAAGAAAUUGUGGGUUUAUGUUCUGCUGUGUACAUUCUCAACAACAAAAUAAAAUUAUCUAUUUUAAAAAAGCCUCUAAAGUUAGAAAAUUCUAUGAUUAAAGAUAUGGUACAUAAUCAGGAAAUAACAAUUAUUGUUGUUAAAUAAAUGUUGUUAAUAUAUAUGUUGAUAUUAUAUUAGUAAUAAUUAAAGGGAAUUAUUGUUGUGAAAUAAACGAGCAAUUAAUUAUACAACUGUCUGAUCAUUAGUCACAAUAAGAAGACUACCUAUUUAGCACAUCUAUAUCAUAAGCAGAAAUGUUCAAUCAUACCUGAGAAGUUAACUUGAGAAGAUAAGGCUGAGAGUCAUUGGAUUCAGAACUGUCAGAGCCUCGGCUACUACAAAAAAUAUUAACAAUUUAUUUCAGUUUACAGAAUGUUUUGGGUUGCGCUUUUAAAUUUCAACUGUUGCUUUUAAUUUUUUUUUUUAAUCAUAUUGGAAUUGGUAGAAAUAGUUCUUAUAAUAAGAAGGCUGUUUGCAAACAGAGGUUUAAAUGUUUGGAUGUUCAGACAGCUUAGAAGCAGAGGUCUUCUUGUUGAAUGUAUGGAGAGAGAUGACAAGUUGGGCCAAUGGAGUGUAAGCUUCAGAGAAGUGGGCAUUUUCAUCCAUCUGGCUCACUGCUGUAUCACCAGAGUGAAAAUAGUGCCUGGCACAUAGUAGGCACUCAGAGAAUAUUGGUUAAUAAAUGAAUGAAUAAGUGCUAUAUUCAGCAGAUUCCUAGCUCUCAGGGGUAUCAUUAGCUCUUAAAAUUCAUUAUUUGAACACACCACUUUCAGUGAAGGACAGGACAUCCAGAAAGAAGCUCAAUAAAGAUACAGAAGAUCUAAAUGCCACAAUAAACCAACAUGACCUCGUAGACAUGUACAGAACACUCCACCCAGCAGCCGUCAAGUAUACUUUCUUUUCUAGUGCUCGUGGAACAUUCUCUAGAAUAGACCACAUAUUAGGUCAUAAAGCAAGCCUUAGCAGAAUCCAGAACACUGAAAUAUUACAAAGCAUCUCCUCUGACCACAACGCCAUAAAAGUAGAAAUCAAUAACAGAAAAAGCAGGGAAAAGAAACCAAACACUUGGAAACUUAACAAUACCCUGCUCAAAAAAAGAUUGGACUAUAAAAGACAUUAAGGAUGGAAUAAAGAAAUUCAUAGAAUCCUGUGAGAAUGAAAACACUUCCUAUGAAAACCUUUGGGACACAGCGAAAGCAGUGCUCAGAGGUCAAUUUAUAUCAAUAAAUGCACACAUCCAAAAAGAAGA